This 829-nucleotide ribosomal RNA is filed under the name uncultured bacterium. Its description in RNAcentral is "bacterial SSU rRNA". It matches the Rfam family "Bacterial small subunit ribosomal RNA", at positions 9 to 848 of the family's 1533-position model. The record is from RNAcentral.
GAGUUUGAUCCUGGCUCAGGACGAACGCUGGCGGCGUGCUUAACACAUGCAAGUCGAGCGGUAAGGCCCUUUCGGGGGUACACGAGCGGCGAACGGGUGAGUAACACGUGGGUAACCUGCCCUCAGCUCUGGGAUAAGCCCGGGAAACUGGGUCUAAUACCGGAUAUGACUCCGCAUCGCAUGGUGUGGGGUGGAAAGCCUUGUGCGGCUGAGGAUGGGCCCGCGGCCUAUCAGCUUGUUGGUGGGGUAGUGGCCUACCAAGGCGACGACGGGUAGCCGGCCUGAGAGGGCGACCGGCCACACUGGGACUGAGACACGGCCCAGACUCCUACGGGAGGCAGCAGUGGGGAAUAUUGCGCAAUGGGCGAAAGCCUGACGCAGCGACGCCGCGUGAGGGAUGACGGCCUUCGGGUUGUAAACCUCUUUCAGCUCCGACGAAGCCUUCGGGUGACGGUAGGGGCAGAAGAAGCACCGGCCAACUACGUGCCAGCAGCCGCGGUAAUACGUAGGGUGCAAGCGUUGUCCGGAAUUAUUGGGCGUAAAGAGCUCGUAGGCGGUUUGUCGCGUCGACUGUGAAAACUCAGGGGCUCAACUCCGAGCUUGCAGUUGAUACGGGCAGACUAGAGUUCGGCAGGGGAGACUGGAAUUCCUGGUGUAGCGGUGAAAUGCGCAGAUAUCAGGAGGAACACCGGUGGCGAAGGCGGGUCUCUGGGCCGAUACUGACGCUGAAGAGCGAAGGCGUGGGGAGCGAACAGGAUUAGAUACCCUGGUAGUCCACGCCGUAAACGUUGGGCGCUAGGUGUGGGGUCCUUCCACGGGUUCCGUGCCG